GCGCAGCAGUCGAGAAUUUUUCACAAUGGGGGAAACCCUGAUGGAGCGACGCCGCGUGGAGGAUGAAGGCCCUCGGGUCGUAAACUCCUGUCAUGCGGGAACAAGAAAGUGAUAGUACCGCAAGAGGAAGAGACGGCUAACUCUGUGCCAGCAGCCGCGGUAAUACAGAGGUCUCAAGCGUUAUUCGGAUUCAUUGGGCGUAAAGGGUGCGUAGGUGGCGAUGUAAGUCUGGUGUGAAAUCUCGGGGCUUAACCCCGAAACUGCAUUGGAUACUGCGUUGCUUGAGGAUUGUAGAGGAGAGUGGAAUUCACGGUGUAGCAGUGAAAUGCGUAGAUAUCGUGAGGAAGACCAGUUGCGAAGGCGACUCUCUGGGCAAUUCCUGACACUGAGGCACGAAGGCCAGGGGAGCAAACGGGAUUAGAUACCCGGGUAGU
Molecule: ribosomal RNA, 434 nt
Filed under: uncultured organism
Description: bacterial SSU rRNA
Rfam family: Bacterial small subunit ribosomal RNA
Source: RNAcentral